GACGAACGCUGGCGGCGUGCUUAACACAUGCAAGUCGAACGGAAAGGCCCUGCUUUUGUGGGGUGCUCGAGUGGCGAACGGGUGAGUAACACGUGAGUAACCUGCCCUUGACUUUGGGAUAACUUCAGGAAACUGGGGCUACUACCGGAUAGGAGCUCCUGCUGCAUGGUGGGGGUUGGACAGUUUCGGCGGUUGGGGAUGGACUCGCGGCUUAUCAGCUUGUUGGUGGGGUAGUGGCUUACCAAGGCUUUGACGGGUAGCCGGCCUGAGAGGGUGACCGGCCACAUUGGGCCUGAGAUACGGCCCAGACUCCUACGGGGGGCAGCAGUGGGGAAUAUUGCACAAUGGGCGGAAGCCUGAUGCAGCAACGCCGCGUGCGGGAUGACGGCCUUCGGGUUGUAAACCGCUUUCGCCUGUGACGAAGCGUGAGUGACGGUAAUGGGUAAAGAAGCACCGGCUAACUACGUG
This 468-nucleotide ribosomal RNA is filed under the name uncultured bacterium. RNAcentral describes it as "partial 16S ribosomal RNA". It matches the Rfam family "Bacterial small subunit ribosomal RNA", at positions 28 to 507 of the family's 1533-position model. The record is from RNAcentral.